UAGGGAAUCUUCCACAAUGGACGCAAGUCUGAUGGAGCAACGCCGCAUGAGUGAAGAAGGUUUUCGGACCGUAAAGCUCUGUUGUUGGUGAAGAAGGAUAGAGGUAGUAACUGGCCUUUAUUUGACGGUAAUCAACCAGAAAGUCACGGCUAACUACGUGCCAGCAGCCGCGGUAAUACGUAGGUGGCAAGCGUUGUCCGGAUUUAUUGGGCGUAAAGCGAGCGCAGGCGGAAGAAUAAGUCUGAUGUGAAAGCCCCGGCUUACGAGAUUACG
This 273-nucleotide ribosomal RNA is filed under the name uncultured bacterium. Its description in RNAcentral is "partial 16S ribosomal RNA". It matches the Rfam family "Bacterial small subunit ribosomal RNA", at positions 355 to 625 of the family's 1533-position model. The record is from RNAcentral.